This 283-nucleotide small nuclear RNA is filed under the name Erinaceus europaeus (western European hedgehog). RNAcentral describes it as "7SK RNA". It matches the Rfam family "7SK RNA". From Rfam's summary of the family: 7SK was discovered as an abundant small nuclear RNA in the mid-70s but a possible function has only recently been suggested. Lineage: Eukaryota; Metazoa; Chordata; Mammalia; Eulipotyphla; Erinaceidae. The record is from Rfam by way of RNAcentral.
GUGAGGGCGAUCUGGCUGCGACAUCUGUCACCCCGUUGAUCGCCAGGGUUGAUUCGGCUGAUCUGGCUGGCUAGGUGGUUGUCUCUUUCCUCACCCCCUCCCAAAGCUGCGCGCUCUGUUGAAGAGGACAGCCUUCCCAGAAUAGAGACAGACUAGUGUUCGGUCGAGGGUAUAUGAGUAGCUGCGCUCCCCUGCUAGAGCCUCCAAACAAGCUCUCAAGAUAAAACAGUAUCUUGCACUGAUAUAUGUGUUAAGAUAAGAUAUACAUAUACUUUAUCAUUGU